This 1704-nucleotide long non-coding RNA is filed under the name Homo sapiens (human). Its description in RNAcentral is "non-protein coding lnc-SPINK4-4:5". The record is from RNAcentral. Lineage: Eukaryota; Metazoa; Chordata; Mammalia; Primates; Hominidae.
CUCUUCCUCCCGAGCCUUUGCGGCGGAGCUUCGGUCGCGUUGAGCCGCGCCUCCUCUUCCUCCUCCACGCUGCCCUCGACAGGCCGCGCCACUUCCUGGGGUGCGAAGGGACUCGGGUGCGAGCCUGGGCCUGCAGCGCGGCGGCGGAGAGAACGGAGAGGACAGCUGGCGGGUGGUUAUCUGGAGUGGUUUGGGGCCGCGGCGGCGUUCUGGCCAGUGGGCCUUGGUGGGCUAGGAAGAGAGGCAGAAAAAGGUUACCCAGGAAACGGGCUUCGACGCCGGGCGAGGAGUGGCACGUUCGAAACCCCCUCCCUAACUCAGCCCGGCUGGACCCCGCUGCUUAACGGGGGGUCCUGCGGCAAAGAAAGUGGACGGGUUGCCACUUCUGUGCCUCCCCAUCAGGGGUUGGGAAACUAGUUUCCAUGGCCAAACCUAGCCCACCGUCUGUUUUGGUGUCCAUGGAUUGGCGGGGACAGCUCUGCUUAAGGAUGUAGUAGCUCUGCAGGUUGGCUAGUUUCCUGUUCUUCCCAACCUGCGCUAUGGACUUCAUCAGAUUUCAGCAUCAGAGAGAAUAUGGAAGGACAUCGACCCUAACUUCAUCCAGUGAGGAUUUCCACACACCAUACACUCUCUGAGAGUUCUCUUGGCUUUGUGUGCACACCUCCAGUGACAGGGAGCUCGCUAUGUCAUGAGGCAGCCUGCUCCCUUGUGGCUAUCACUGAACCAACUAUUAAGCCUUCUUAUACAAACAGUCCCUGACUUACUGUUAGACUUACAACUUUUUGAUUUUACAGUGGUGCAAAAGCAAUAUGCAUUCCAUAGAAACUGUAUUUCAAAUUUUGAAUUUUGAUCUUUUCCAGGCUAGCAACAUAUGAAGACCAACCUUCUAUUUUUAAAAUAGGCUUUGUGUUAGAUGCUUUUGCCCAACUAUAGGUUAAUGUAAAUGUUCUGAGAAUAUUUGAGGAAGGCUAGGCUAAACUGUGAUCUUUGGGAGCUUAGAUAUGUUAAGUGCAUUUUCAACUUACAAUAUUUUCAACUUACGAUGAGUUUAUUGGGAUGAAGCCCGUUGUAAGUAAAGGAGCAUCUGCAUUAAGCUAAAAUCCAUGUCUAUAACUUCCUCAGUAAUAUCAAGUUUGUUCCUUGGAGCCAGAGAAUAAACUGAAUCCUUUUCCACGUGAUGGUCUUUCUGUUGUUUAAAGAGAUCAGCCAUGUACCUUCUCCCAACCUGAAGACAACUCCUCACCAGGCUACCUAUCAAUUCUACCUCUUUUUUUAAGAGAUGGGGUCUCACUAUGUUGCCCAGCCUGGUCUUGAACUCUGGGCUCAAGUGAUCCUCCCACCUCAGCCUUCCGAGUAGCCAGGAUUACAGGCACACACCACCAUGCCCAGCUCCAUUUCCAUUGUUCUUCAUGCUUCCUUAUUGAGUUCCUUCCCUGUCCCGAUUAUUCGUCUUUGAUUGGGCUUUGACUACCUGGGCAUUUAGUAGGGUCCAUAACUGAAUGCAGCAUUCCAGCCGGGGUCUAAGCAACAGAAUAGAGCAGGACCAUCAUCUCCGCAAUUUCCAAUAUCAUACUUUCAUCAAUGUCUUCCGAAACAACAUUCACUUUUUUAUGUUCAUGUUAAACUAAAAGACAGGGCUGAAGGCAGCAUCCUGGAACAGUGGAAACAUUCCUAUAAGUUGACUUGAAUCCUUUAAAUAAAGUC